GACGAACGCUGGCGGCGUGCCUAAUACAUGCGAGUUGAGCGCUGAAGGUUGGUACUUGUACCAACUGGAUGAGCAGCGAACGGGUGAGUAACGCGUGGGGAAUCUGCCUUUGAGCGGGGGACAACAUUUGGAAACGAAUGCUAAUACCGCAUAAAAACUUUAAACACAAGUUUUAAGUUUGAAAGAUGCAAUUGCAUCACUCAAAGAUGAUCCCGCGUUGUAUUAGCUAGUUGGUGAGGUAAAGGCUCACCAAGGCGAUGAUACAUAGCCGACCUGGGAGGGUGAUCGGCCACAUUGGGACUGAGACACGGCCCAAACUCCUACGGGAGGCAGCAGUAGGGAAUCUUCGGCAAUGGACGAAAGUCUGACCGAGCAACGCCGCGUGAGUGAAGAAGGUUUUCGGAUCGUAAAACUCUGUUGGUAGAGAAGAACGUUGGUGAGAGUGGAAAGCUCAUCAAGUGACGGUAACUACCCAGAAAGGGACGGCUAACUACGUG
Molecule: ribosomal RNA, 497 nt
Filed under: uncultured bacterium
Lineage: Bacteria
Description: partial 16S ribosomal RNA
Rfam family: Bacterial small subunit ribosomal RNA
Source: RNAcentral